RNAcentral lists this ribosomal RNA (653 nucleotides) under uncultured Actinomycetales bacterium. RNAcentral describes it as "bacterial SSU rRNA". It matches the Rfam family "Bacterial small subunit ribosomal RNA", at positions 59 to 725 of the family's 1533-position model. The record is from RNAcentral. Lineage: Bacteria; Bacillati; Actinomycetota; Actinomycetes; Actinomycetales.
AAGUCGAACGGAAAGGCCCUGCUUGCAGGGUACUCGAGUGGCGAACGGGUGAGUAACACGUGGGUGAUCUGCCCUGCACUUCGGGAUAAGCUUGGGAAACUGGGUCUAAUACCGGAUAGGAACCAUCUUUAGUGUGGUGGUUGGAAAGUUUUUUCGGUGUAGGAUGAGCUCGCGGCCUAUCAGCUUGUUGGUGGGGUAAUGGCCUACCAAGGCGGCGACGGGUAGCCGGCCUGAGAGGGUGUACGGCCACAUUAGGACUGAGAUACGGCCCAGACUCCUACGGGAGGCAGCAGUGGGGAAUAUUGCACAAUGGGCGCAAGCCUGAUGCAGCGACGCCGCGUGGGGGAUGAAGGCCUUCGGGUUGUAAACUCCUUUCGCUAGGGACGAAGCUUUUUGUGACGGUACCUAGAUAAGAAGCACCGGCUAACUACGUGCCAGCAGCCGCGGUAAUACGUAGGGUGCGAGCGUUGUCCGGAAUUACUGGGCGUAAAGGGCUCGUAGGUGGUUUGUCGCGUCGUCCGUGAAAUUCUGGGGCUUAACUCCGGGCGUGCAGGCGAUACGGGCAUAACUUGAGUGCUGUAGGGGUAACUGGAAUUCCUGGUGUAGCGGUGAAAUGCGCAGAUAUCAGGAGGAACACCGAUGGCGAAGGCAGG